RNAcentral lists this ribosomal RNA (372 nucleotides) under uncultured organism. RNAcentral describes it as "bacterial SSU rRNA". It matches the Rfam family "Bacterial small subunit ribosomal RNA", at positions 526 to 896 of the family's 1533-position model. The record is from RNAcentral.
CGUAGGAGGCAAGCGUUAUCCGGAUUCACUGGGCGUAAAGCGCGUGCAGGUGGCGCGGUAAGUUGGGUGUGAAAUCUCCCGGCUCAACUGGGAGAGGUCAUUCAAUACUACCGUGCUUGAGAGCAGAAGAGGAAGAUGGAAUUCCCGGUGUAGUGGUGAAAUGCGUGGAUAUCGGGAGGAACACCAGAGGCGAAGGCGAUCUUCUGGUCUGUUUCUGACACUCAGACGCGACAGCUAGGGUAGUAAACGGGAUUAGAGACCCCGGUAAUCCUAGCCGUAAACGAUGUGAACUUGGCGUUGGUGGGUUAAACUCCAUCAGUGCCGUAGCAAACGCGAUAAGUUCACCGCCUGGGGACUACGGCCGCAAGGUUA